GAUGAACGCUGGCGGCGUGCCUAAUACAUGCAAGUCGAGCGAACAGAUGAGGAGCUUGCUCCUCUGACGUUAGUGGCGGACGGGUGAGUAACACGUGGAUAACCUACCUAUAAGACUGGGAUAACUUCGGGAAACCGGAGCUAAUACCGGAUAAUAUAUUGAACCGCAUGGUUCAAUAGUGAAAGACGGUUUUGCUGUCACUUAUAGAUGGAUCCGCGCCGCAUUAGCUAGUUGGUAAGGUAACGGCUUACCAAGGCGACGAUGAGUAGCCGACCUGAGAGGGUGAUCGGCCACACUGGAACUGAGACACGGUCCAGACUCCUACGGGAGGCAGCAGUAGGGAAUCUUCCGCAAUGGGCGAAAGCCUGACGGAGCAACGCCGCGUGAGUGAUGAAGGUCUUCGGAUCGUAAAACUCUGUUAUUAGGGAAGAACAAAUGUGUAAGUAACUAUGCACGUCUUGACGGUACCUAAUCAGAAAGCCACGGCUAACUACGUG
Molecule: ribosomal RNA, 497 nt
Filed under: uncultured bacterium
Lineage: Bacteria
Description: partial 16S ribosomal RNA
Rfam family: Bacterial small subunit ribosomal RNA
Source: RNAcentral